AAUUGUUCACAAUGGGCGCAAGCCUGAUGACGCAACGCCGCGUGGAGGAUGAAGAUCUUCGGGUCGUAAACUCCUGUCGAGCGGGACGAAUGCUUUGCGGCUGAAUAAUCCGCAGAGGUGACGGUACCGCUAAAGGAAGCCCCGGCUAACUCCGUGCCAGCAGCCGCGGUAAUACGUAGGUGACAAGCGUUGUCCGGAUUUACUGGGCGUAAAGAGCGCGCAGGCGGUCGUUCAAGUCGAGUGUGAAAGCCCCCGGCUCAACUGGGGAGGGUCAUUCGAUACUGAUCGACUCGAAGGCAGGAGAGGGUAGUGGAAUUCCCGGUGUAGUGGUGAAAUGCGUAGAUAUCGGGAGGAACACCAGUGGCGAAGGCGACUACCUGGCCUGUUCUUGACGCUGAGGCGCGAAAGCUAGGGGAGCAAAC
Molecule: ribosomal RNA, 422 nt
Filed under: uncultured bacterium
Lineage: Bacteria
Description: bacterial SSU rRNA
Rfam family: Bacterial small subunit ribosomal RNA
Source: RNAcentral